UCCCUCUAGGGAGGUUAAAGAAGGGCUAAGUGGACCCGGAAACUCCGCUCUUUGGGGUGGUCUCCGCUCUGGGAGGCGGGGACUCCCCUCUGAUAUGGGUGUUCAUUGUUCUGGCCCCAUUGGAAUCUAUCCCCCAGAGACAACUUCUUUUUGCAAAGUCCUGCAGGAUAGAAGAGGGGGCAGUGCACAAUCAAUUUCACCGUCAAAGGUGACAUCUCUAGUUUUAUGAGGGGAGAGGGAAGACAGAAAGGAUCAAGUGGGGAUGGGUUAGGCACACACCUUAGGAGAUGCAAACCUGAGUGUUAUGAAACCUUUCUCUGUGUCUGGAGCUGAAUUUGAGGAUGUAAAGAUGACCAGGACACGGAAGGGAAGACUAGUUUUGGGCAGGGGAUUGUGAGUGAAGUUACUAACAGGAAGAACUAGCGAAUCUUGUAGAAAUGUGUGGAAUUUUCAUAGAACUUCAAGUGCAUUAUCAGGAAACGCAGUGAAACUGACAGUAUCAGUGUCGCAGCGUUCCUGCCUCCUGGCAUGGCAAUCCUCUUCCCUGAGACUGGCAGUUGCUCAAGAUGGAAAGCUCCCAGGACCAGACCCGAGCGACAGCCGGCUACGCCGUCCGCUUGCCUGAGCAAAUAAACGCGUGUCUUCAAAAAACUA
Macaca mulatta (Rhesus monkey) is the source of this 654-nucleotide non-coding RNA. The record is from RefSeq and is a predicted model, not a curated record. NCBI's taxonomy places the organism in Eukaryota, Metazoa, Chordata, Mammalia, Primates, Cercopithecidae.